This is a long non-coding RNA of Eriocheir sinensis (Chinese mitten crab), 3916 nucleotides long. RefSeq lists it as uncharacterized. Lineage: Eukaryota; Metazoa; Arthropoda; Malacostraca; Decapoda; Varunidae. The record is from RefSeq and is a predicted model, not a curated record. The transcript has 3 exons.
CAGCAGAUGAUGCGAGUCAGCAGUGUGAUUCAGCAGGUGGUGUGAGUCGGCCGAUGGUGUGAUAGCAGGUCGUGUGUUUAUGCAGCAUGAUUUAGCAGGUGGUGUGAAUUAGCAGUGUGAGUCAGCAGGUGUUGUGAGCUAGCAGUGCGAGUCAGCAGGUGUUGUGAGCUAGCAGUGCGAGUCAGCAGGUGUUGUGAGCUAGCAGUGUGAGUCAGGAGGUGUUGUGAGCUAGACGUGUGAGUCAGCAGGUGUUGUGAGCUAGACGUGUGAGUCAGCAGGUGUUGUGAGCUAGACGUGUGAGUCAGCAGGUGUUGUGAGCUAGACGUGUGAGUCAGCAGGUGUUGUGAGCUAGACGUGUGAGUCAGCAGGUGUUGUGAGCUAGACGUGUGAGUCAGCAGGUGUUGUGAGCUAGACGUGUGAGUCAGCAGGUGUUGUGAGCUAGACGUGUGAGUCAGCAGGUGUUGUGAGCUAGACGUGUGAGUCAGCAGGUGUUGUGAGCUAGACGUGUGAGUCAGCAGGUGUUGUGAGCUAGACGUGUGAGUCAGCAGGUGUUGUGAGCUAGCAGUGCGAGUCAGCAGGUGUUGUGAGUUAGCAGUGUGAGUCAGCAGGUGUUGUGAGCUAGACGUGUGAGUCAGCAGGUGUUGUGAGCUAGCAGUGCGAGUCAGCAGGUGUUGUGAGCUAGACGUGUGAGUCAGCAGGUGUUGUGAGCUAGCAGUGUGAGACAACAGGUGUUGUGAGCUAGCAGUGUGAGUCAGCAGUGUGAGACAACAGGUGUUGUGAGCUAGCAGUGUGAGUCAGCAGUGUAAGUCAGCAGUAUAUGUCAGCAGGUGGUGUGAUUUAGCAGGUGGUGUGAGUCAGAGGGUGGUGUGAAUCGGUAGGUCAUGUGAGUCAGCAGGUGGUGUGAGUCAUGAGGUGAUGUGAAACAAAAGUGGCAGGUGACGUGAAUCAGCUGGUUGUGUACACAGCAGGCGGCCUGGGUCGAUGUUCUGCCGCAAGGGGCGGAGGGUUGAGGUGGAAGGUCCAGGUCAUUCGUCACGUGAAUACAUAUUAGUUUGCAGGGGUAUGAGUUUUUAUAUUUAUUACAAUUAAUUACUUUGCCGACGUUAACAGCGGUAAUAAAUGCAGGAUGUACCUAGAAUGGUCUCAAAAAGCCGACACGAUCACGCUAACAUUACAGAACAGGUAAGUUACAACAGCAAACAUUGCGCAAGUUGGUCUUGAUCCUGAUCUUGAUCUUGAUGUCACAGGAUACUUGAGAUUUAUCUCCAGCCUGGCCUUUGUAUCGGCAGCUCCUCUAAAAGAAAACAAAACAUACAGAAAGACGGUGCCAUAAUCAUGGCAAAAUAUCAUUGCCUACAUCUUCCACGCCACAUGCUCUCCAAUAACUUUUUCACUGCCUCAAUCACUCGUCCAUUCGUCUCUCCACUCAGCCCCAGCAGCAGCACCAUCCACUCCUUUCCAGUCCUCCCAUCACUUCACGUCCCAUCUCACUCAGAAACACCUGCAUCACUUUCGUUCUCUCUUUGUCACACUUCUUACAGUCUAGCACUACACGCUGCACAGUCUGGUUCACACCCCUGUGACCCAUGUGGCACACUUUGCUGCUGGACUCGGACCAUCUAUAGUUCCUUGCAUUCACAUCCAAAUACUGCGCUCUAGCAAUGAAAAGAAGAUCACCUCCCAGGCUUCCCUCAUACCACACCUCACUCUCUGGGGCAUCUUUAUCCCUGUAACAGUCGAGGGUUUCCUUUCUUUCCAUCUCAUUCAUCCACUUGCUCAAUCCUUCAUCUUUUACUGCCAUAUAUAUCACAUUCUUCCACUUUCUUACAUCCCACUCAAACCCCUCUCUAUUGCUGUUUGUUAUUCCCCAUUUAAACACAUUCUGCCUUUCCUCAAAAGGUUAAUACACCCACCUAUUUAGCAAACUAUUCCUGUCUAUCUUUCGCCCACAUAUAUUCGCCCAUUUGCCAUUUCUUAUAUUCCAUUCCACACGUAUAACUUUCGUGUUAAACUUGCAUCCUCCAUUCGCUCCUGUCUCACUUUAUAUCUCAAGGUUGCUUUCAUUAGUCUUUCCCUAAAAGUACUCCAUCCCAUGUCACCCCUAAGAGCCUCUAUUGCUGCAAACCUUGGUGCAUUCAGUGCCAUUCUUGCUACCCUAUUCUGUCCCAAUUCCAGUUUCUCUAUCUCUCUGUCGUUCAAUGUCACCACAUCCAUUCCAUACAUAAUGCUCGGGACAGCCACACUCUUCCAAACCACACGGACGAAUCAUACGUGCUCACUCUCAUCCUCGCUGCACUCCCCAAACUGCCUACCCACUGGCUCGUCGUACCUGUCUUCUCAUUCUUGGCCCUAUCGCAUCCAUUUACAUCCAUCCACACUUUUAGAUACAUGUCUGUUGCAACUCAUUCCCUUCCAGUCUCCAUGUUGUUUGUCUCUCAUCCUCUGACCUAUUAACUAUCAUUAUCUUGCUCUUCGCACUACUAAAUCUAACCCCUAAAUCUCUUCCAUAUCCCCCUACCACAUCUAAUAGUCUUUGUAAGUCUUUAGCAGACACAAUCAUAACCACCUCAUCAUCCGCGUACAACAACACACAUACAUUGUCCUCUCCCACUCUCACCCCUGCAUUCAUUCUUCUCAUCCUGACUGCUAACUCCUCCGUGAGAGACUUGAUCUUGCUCUUGCUUCAGGAGGUAGUCACUCCGUUCGGUAGUAAAGGUAGUAUCUCACUGAGCGACGAACGUUUGGCGAUAGCGGCGACUAGCGGUUCGUUACUUUUGCUGACGAAUUUUGGCGACCCUACUAAUCGCCAAGUAUUCGCAAGUCAGUGAGAGUCCAAAUGCGAAUAGUUGAUGAAUACUUAACGACAUGUUGGAGACAUUUUAAUUAAUAUUUGGCGAACAAUUGAAGAAAAGUUGAAAAACAAUUGACGAAUAGUUGACGAAUUCUGCGAGCAGUCAGCGACAUUUUGCCGAAUGUGGCAAAUAAAGCGACUGUUUGACAACUGUUCGGAGAACAUUUGACAACAAACUGAAGUAUAGCCUAUGAACAGUGUGUGAACAGUCUGUGAAUAGUCCGCGAAUCCACCUCACCCCCCCCCCCUCACCCUCCAAUGGAUCCUACCCUAUAAUACAGGUCGGUUUAAUGUGUCCACUAUCAUUUUCCUCUGUAUCCUCGAAGGAAUCAGUGCUCAGAAGGAUCAAGAUUUUUAGAAACAGUACCCUGCUAUAUUUGAAGAUGAAUUUCCAGAAUUUAAAGAUGGAUUAUUUUAAGGAACAACAGCAGCUUGAAGCAGCUGCAGCUGAAGAAGAAUGUUGCCUGGCAGUUUCCUAGCUUGUUUGCUAGGCGGUCUGCUGGGCAUGGAGGGGCAUCCUGGGCAUCUUUAUGCAUCAUGCUGUCCUUUCUGACUAUCCUUCCUUCUAGGUAUGAUUGUCAAAAAAAUGAUAAAAUGCGCAAACGACGUGAACUGUUCGCCAACCACUCUGAAAAUGAUCGUCAACCGUUCGGCGCGCGCCCCUUUUAUAUCGUCACAGUCACGUGAACAUACACAAUCACCAACCAUGAGCAGAGUUCGCCAACUGUUCGUCAACUAUUCAUGAACUAUUCGUCAACUAUACAUCAACUAUUCGUCAACUAUUCAUCAACUGUUCACUAGUUUUUGUGUUCGUCAACUGGUGGCCAAAUAUUCAUCAACUAUUCGUGAAUUAUUCACCAACUUUUCUUCAACCUGUCGUCAAAAGGGGUGUUAUUAUAAUGUUCGCAUAAAAUUCUCAAAUAAAUUAUAGCGACUACACAAUUCGUCAACUAUUAUCCAACCAUUCGGUGUAUUUGUGAACUAUGCUGUAAUUAUUCUUCAACUAUUCUUCACAUUCUGGAGGUGGGCGAAUAGUUGAAGAAUAGUUGACGAUCAAAAAGACCU